AAACCAACAGGGAUUGCCUCAGUAACGGCGAGUGAAGCGGCAACAGCUCAAAUUUGAAAUCUGGCCCUAGGCCCGAGUUGUAAUUUGCAGAGGAUGCUUUUGGUGCGGUGCCUUCCAAGUUCCCUAGAACGGGACGCCAGAGAGGGUGAGAGCCCCGUACAGUUGGACACCAAGCCUUUGUAAAGCUCCUUCGACGAGUCGAGUAGUUUGGGAAUGCUGCUCUAAAUGGGAGGUAUAUGUCUUCUAAAGCUAAAUACCGGCCAGAGACCGAUAGCGCACAAGUAGAGUGAUCGAAAGAUGAAAAGCACUUUGAAAAGAGAGUUAAAAAGUACGUGAAAUUGUUGAAAGGGAAGCGUUUAUGACCAGACUUGGGCUUGGUUAAUCAUCUGGGGUUCUCCCCAGUGCACUUUUCCAGCCCAGGCCAGCAUCAGUUUUCGCCGGGGGAUAAAGACUUCGGGAAUGUGGCUCCCCUCGGGGAGUGUUAUAGCCCGUUGUGUAAUACCCUGGCGGGGACUGAGGUUCGCGCUUCUGCAAGGAUGCUGGCGUAAUGGUCAUCAACGAC
Molecule: ribosomal RNA, 562 nt
Filed under: uncultured fungus
Lineage: Eukaryota; Fungi
Description: eukaryotic LSU rRNA
Rfam family: Eukaryotic large subunit ribosomal RNA
Source: RNAcentral